GCCGGAGUAGCUCAGUUGGGAGAGCGUUAGACUGAAGAUCUAAAUGUCCCCGGUUCGAUCCCGGGUUCCGGCA
Schistosoma mansoni is the source of this 73-nucleotide transfer RNA. It matches the Rfam family "tRNA". From Rfam's summary of the family: Transfer RNA (tRNA) molecules are approximately 80 nucleotides in length. Their secondary structure includes four short double-helical elements and three loops (D, anti-codon, and T loops). The record is from Rfam. NCBI's taxonomy places the organism in Eukaryota, Metazoa, Platyhelminthes, Trematoda, Strigeidida, Schistosomatidae.